AGGAAGGCUUCGUUUGUUGGUUUACGAGUUGAGCUAACUCAAUGACUUUGAGUCAUCGAAGGUUCGAUUCCUUCUCUUCCUA
RNAcentral lists this transfer RNA (82 nucleotides) under Trichophyton mentagrophytes. RNAcentral's name for it is "tRNA-Tyr". The record is from RNAcentral. Lineage: Eukaryota; Fungi; Ascomycota; Eurotiomycetes; Onygenales; Arthrodermataceae.